AUUGAACGCUGGCGGCAUGCUUUACACAUGCAAGUCGAACGGCCGCGCGGGCUUCGGCCUGGCGGCGAGUGGCGAACGGGUGAGUACUGCAUCGGAACGUGCCCAGUCGUGGGGGAUAGCCCGGCGAAAGCCGGCUUAAUCCCGCAUACGACCUGAGGGUGACAGCGGGGGACCGAAAGGCCUCGCGCUAUUGGAGCGGCCGAUGUCGGAUUAGCUAGUUGGUGGGGUAAAGGCUUACCAAGGCGACGAUCCGUAGCUGGUCUGAGAGGACGACCAGCCACACUGGGACUGAGACACGGCCCAGACUCCUACGGGAGGCAGCAGUGGGGAAUUUUGGACAAUGGGGGCAACCCUGAUCCAGCCAUGCCGCGUGCGGGAAGAAGGCCUUCGGGUUGUAAACCGCUUUUGUUCGGGAAGAAAUCCUCUGGGCUAAUACCCCGGGGGGAUGACGGUACCGGAAGAAUAAGCACCGGCUAACUACGUG
RNAcentral lists this ribosomal RNA (484 nucleotides) under uncultured bacterium. Its description in RNAcentral is "partial 16S ribosomal RNA". It matches the Rfam family "Bacterial small subunit ribosomal RNA", at positions 28 to 507 of the family's 1533-position model. The record is from RNAcentral.